This 427-nucleotide ribosomal RNA is filed under the name uncultured bacterium. RNAcentral describes it as "partial 16S ribosomal RNA". It matches the Rfam family "Bacterial small subunit ribosomal RNA", at positions 355 to 774 of the family's 1533-position model. The record is from RNAcentral.
UGGGGAAUAUUGGACAAUGGGCGAAAGCCUGAUCCAGCCAUGCCGCGUGUGUGAAGAAGGUCUUCGGAUUGUAAAGCACUUUAAGUUGGGAGGAAGGGCAUUAACCUAAUACGUUAGUGUUUUGACGUUACCGACAGAAUAAGCAUCGGCUAACUCUGUGCCAGCAGCCGCGGUAAUACAGAGGGUGCAAGCGUUAAUCGGAAUUACUGGGCGUAAAGCGCGCGUAGGUGGUUUGUUAAGUUGGAUGUGAAAUCCCCGGGCUCAACCUGGGAACUGCAUUCAAAACUGACUGACUAGAGUAUGGUAGAGGGUGGUGGAAUUUCCUGUGUAGCGGUGAAAUGCGUAGAUAUAGGAAGGAACACCAGUGGCGAAGGCGACCACCUGGACUAAUACUGACACUGAGGUGCGAAAGCGUGGGGAGCAAACA